UGGCUUUCAGUGAAAAUAAGCAAGAGCCACGAGGGGGCGCCCUCUUCCCUUGCCUUGCCUCUGAAAGAUAGGGAAAAAAGAAAGGCAAGGAUCCCCCUCAUCUGAAUGCUCAGAUGGCAGCAAAAGGAGGCGGGGUGGGGGAGACAACGAGACCAGACUCCUGGAAGAUGGUGUCAAGAAGGAGAGGAGCGCCUUUCCUGGAGGCAGAGAGACCUGUGCUGGUGCCUUUGGGGGAGAGGGUUUGCAAGAGGGAUGCGUCUCUCUCUGUCUGCCUUGUAAACCUGCCAAGCGCAAUUGCACCAUUGGGUUGCCGGUCUCUCUCUCACUGUGUGCGUGUGUCUCUCUCUGCCUUGGAGUGGGUGGGGACCCGGGCGCUUCCUUAAACAGCCAGGCGGCCAGGAGGAGGAGGAGGAGGAGGAGGAGGAGGCGUGGAGCCCCGGGCAGCAAGCAAGCAGCAGCCACGGAGACAGCUCGGCCCGGGGUGGGCCAGCCCGACACGUGAGGAAGGAAGGAAGGAAGGAAGGAAAGGCUGCUCUUCGCCUGCGUCUCGACGCGCAAACUUUCCAGGGAGACUUGUGAUCCUCGCCCAACUCGGAGGAUGUCAAGGGGUCCGUCACAGGAAUGCCACUCUAGCACCGAGGGCUUUUGUGAAACCUUUUUUUGCAUUCCCUUCGCCAUGGGGAUGUUUUGCACGUGUGUCUUUUUCCAAGGCUUUUCAGCCCACUCUCGAAAAGGAGCCCCGUUGACAGAAGGUCUACAGGACUCACUUCCCAUGAAGUGCCUCUUGGCUUUGAGGGUAUACAGGCCAUCACAACCUGCUUUUGUGCCAUAAAUUGUGCUGCCCAGAACAGUCCUUUCCAUGUUUUCCUGAAUAUAUAUUAACUUUCUAAAACUAGUCUUCCAUUUGGAAGGAAUGACUAAGGCCCCUUCCACACAGAUGAAUAAAAUCCCACAUUAUCUGCUUUGAACUGGAAUAUAUAGCAGUGUGGACACAGAUAUCCCAAUUCAAAGCAGAUACUGUCGGAUUUUCUGUAUUGAUAUUCUGGGUUAUAUGGCUGUGUGGAAGGGCCCUAGAUUAGAGCUGAUGUAUAUUAGUCUUUAGUCUCAUUUGGCAUUUAUCUGGUGCACCUGUUGCUAUUGCCAUUUUCUACAGUCAAGAAAUGCAGGCAAAUUUUAUUUUAUUGUGAUAUUGAUAUUCUGCCCUGUAUCAUGGGAAUCUGGAUUCAGCUUUCCAUCCCUUGUUGGUUUAUAGAUUAUCUGAUGAGAUUGCUGUGGGUGCAGGAUCAGGCUGGAGAAUCACAUAUGGGAGAUCUAGUUGCACAUAUAAUUCCCCACAGACAUGUGUGAAAACCUAUUUAGCAUGUGCACACAUGAUUACCAACUUUUUUCGUGUCAGGAGCAACUUGAGAAAAUCGCUUCUGGUGUGAGAGAAUUGGCUGUCUGGAAGGACAUUGCUAGGGGAUGCCCGGAUGUUUUACCAUCCUAUGAGAGACACCUCUCAUGUCCCUGCAUGGGGAGCUGGAGCUGACAGAUGGAGCUCACCCUGCUCCCCGGAUACGAACCACCAACCAGGGGGAUGCUCCUUAUCACCAACUGGAGCAGAGUGAUUACUACUGGUCAUUGUAAUGUGUGCCUACGCUGUGUAAAAAUACUGAUUUUAUAAUAAAAGCUAUUUAAAAUCUA
Molecule: long non-coding RNA, 1683 nt
Organism: Anolis carolinensis (green anole)
Lineage: Eukaryota; Metazoa; Chordata; Lepidosauria; Squamata; Anolidae
Exons: 2
Source: RefSeq, a predicted model, not a curated record